GCCUGGCUAGCUCAGUCGGUACAGCAUGAGACUCUUAAUCUCAGGGUUGUGGGUUCAAGCCCCACAUUGGGUA
This 73-nucleotide transfer RNA is filed under the name Cricetulus griseus (Chinese hamster). RNAcentral's name for it is "tRNA-Lys (CTT) (tRNA-Lys-CTT-23-1)". It matches the Rfam family "tRNA". Rfam says of the family: Transfer RNA (tRNA) molecules are approximately 80 nucleotides in length. Their secondary structure includes four short double-helical elements and three loops (D, anti-codon, and T loops). The record is from Rfam by way of RNAcentral. Lineage: Eukaryota; Metazoa; Chordata; Mammalia; Rodentia; Cricetidae.